AUUUAGACAGCAGGACGGUGGCCAUGGAAGUUGGAAUCCGCUAAGGAGUGUGUAACAACUCACCUGCCGAAUGAACUAGCCCUGAAAAUGGAUGGCGCUUAAGCGUGUUACCCAUACCUCACCGUCAUGGUAGAAACCAUGCCAUGACGAGUAGGCAGGCGUGGAGGUCAGUGACGAAGCCUUUGGAGUGAUCCUGGGUUGAACGGCCUCUAGUGCAGAUCUUGGUGGUAGUAGCAAAUACUCAAAUGAGAACUUUGAGGACUGAAGUGGGGAAAGGUUCCGUGUGAACAGCAGUUGGACACGGGUUAGUCGAUCCUAAGAGAUAGGGAAACUCCGUUUUAAUGUAGGCGCUUGCGCCUCACCCUCGAAAGGGAAGCCGGUUAAUAUUCCGGCACCUGGAUGUGGAUUCUCCGCG
RNAcentral lists this ribosomal RNA (415 nucleotides) under Weissella confusa. Its description in RNAcentral is "partial 23S ribosomal RNA". It matches the Rfam family "Eukaryotic large subunit ribosomal RNA", at positions 1231 to 1643 of the family's 3401-position model. Lineage: Bacteria; Bacillati; Bacillota; Bacilli; Lactobacillales; Lactobacillaceae. The record is from RNAcentral.